CCCGCCGUGGACCGCAUGGGAGUGAGAAUGCAGACAUGAGUAGCGAAAGACGGGUGAAGAUCCCGUCCGCUGGACGACCAAGGGUUCCAGGGCCACGUUCAUCGUCCCUGGGUGAGUCGGGUCCUAAGGCGAGGCCGACAGGCGUAGUCGAAUGGAUGAACGGGUCGAUAUUCCCGUACCGGCAUGCAACCGACAAAACCGAAUCCGCGAGUACUAACCUCCGGGUCCGGGCUUACGUCUCCUUCGGGAGCCGGAUGCCCUGGCCUGUUGGGACCGUAACGGUAGUAGGUCAGCGCGGGAGUGACGCAGAAGGGUAGCCGGCCGCGGAGGUGGUCUUCCGUGGUCAAGCACGCAGCCCGUCCCACAGGCAAAUCCGUGGGGCGCGUGGGCGAGGUGCGAUGAUGGGCGCCGCAGGGCGCGAUAUCCGGUGAUCCCGGCUGCCGAGAAAAGCUUCGGCGUGAGGCGGCGUGCCGCCCGUACCCCAAACCGACACUGGUGGUCAGGUAGAGAAUACCAAAGCGAUCGAGCGAAUCCUGGUCAAGGAACUCGGCAAAUCACUCCCGUUCCUUCGGUUUAAGGGAGACCCCCGAUGGUGAAGCGGCUUGCCCGUGGAGCUUUUGGGGGUGGCACAGACCAGGGGGUAGCGACUGUUUACCAAAAACACAGGAGCGUGCGAAGGCGCAAGCCGCUGUAUACGCUCUGACGCCUGCCCGGUGCCGGAAGGUUAAGAGGAUCCGUCAGGCUUCGGCCGAAGCGGUGAAUUCAAGCCCCGGUAAACGGCGGUGGUAACUAUAACCAUCCUAAGGUAGCGAAAUUCCUUGUCGGGUAAGUUCCGACCUGCACGAAUGGCGUAACGACUUCCCCACUGUCUCGACCAGGAGCUCGGCGAAAUUGCAGUACGAGUAAAGAUGCUCGUUAAGCGCAGAAGGACGAAAAGACCCCGGGACCUUUACUAUACCUUGGUAUUGGCAUUCGGUGUGGAUUGUGUAGCAUAGGCGGAAGGCUUCGAAGCCACGGCGCCAGCCGCGGUGGAGCCGCAAGGUGAAAUACCGCUCUGUUCGCAUUGGAUGUCUAACCUCGACCAGUCAUCCUGGUCAGGGACAGUGCCUGGCGGGUAGUUUAACUGGGGCGGUUGCCUCCCAAAGAGUAACGGAGGCGCUCAAAGGUUCCCUCAGCCCGGUUGGCAAUCGGGUGGCGAGUGUAAGUGCACAAGGGAGCUUGACUGCGAGACUGACGGGUCGAGCAGGGACGAAAGUCGGAACUAGUGAUCCGGUGCCGGUGUACGGACGCGGCAUCGCUCAACGGAUAAAAGGUACCCCGGGGAUAACAGGCUGAUCAUUCCCAAGAGUCCAUAUCGACGGGAUGGUUU
RNAcentral lists this ribosomal RNA (1369 nucleotides) under human gut metagenome. RNAcentral describes it as "bacterial LSU rRNA". It matches the Rfam family "Bacterial large subunit ribosomal RNA", at positions 1267 to 2519 of the family's 2925-position model. The record is from RNAcentral.